This 305-nucleotide ribosomal RNA is filed under the name uncultured bacterium. RNAcentral's name for it is "bacterial SSU rRNA". It matches the Rfam family "Bacterial small subunit ribosomal RNA", at positions 335 to 659 of the family's 1533-position model. The record is from RNAcentral.
AUCCUACGGGAGGCAGCAGUGGGGAAUAUUGCACAAUGGGGGAAACCCUGAUGCAGCGACGCCGCGUGAGUGAAGAAGUAUUUCGGUACGUAAAGCUCUAUCAGCAGGGAAGAAAAUGACGGUACCUGACUAAGAAGCCCCGGCUAACUACGUGCCAGCAGCCGCGGUAAUACGGAGGAUGCGAGCGUUAUCCGGAUUUAUUGGGUUUAAAGGGUGCGCAGGCGGCCUGUUAAGUCAGCGGUAAAAGCCCGGGGCUCAACCCCGGCGAGCCGUUGAAACUGGCGGGCUGGAGUUGGAGAGAAGGA